GUGAGGAAUAUUGGUCAAUGGACGGAAGUCUGAACCAGCCAUGCCGCGUGCAGGAAUAAGGUCCUAUGGAUUGUAAACUGCUUUUAUUCGGGAAUAAACCUCUUUACGUGUAGGGAGCUGAAGGUACCGAAGGAAUAAGCACCGGCUAACUCCGUGCCAGCAGCCGCGGUAAUACGGAGGGUGCAAGCGUUAUCCGGAAUCAUUGGGUUUAAAGGGUCCGCAGGCGGGCUAUCAAGUCAGAGGUGAAAUCCCACAGCUUAACUGUGGAACUGCCUUUGAAACUGAUGGUCUUGAAUUAAGUGGGCGUUGGCGGAAUAUGACAUGUAGCGGUGAAAUGCAUAGAUAUGUCAUGGAACACCGAAAGCGAAGGCAGCUAACGAUACUUAUAUUGACGCUCAUGUACGAAAGCGUGGGUAGCGAACAGGAUUAGAAACCCCAGUAGUCC
Molecule: ribosomal RNA, 445 nt
Filed under: uncultured bacterium
Lineage: Bacteria
Description: partial 16S ribosomal RNA
Rfam family: Bacterial small subunit ribosomal RNA
Source: RNAcentral